CAGUAGCCACGGGAAUACGUAGGGUGCAAGCGUUAAUCGGAUUUACUGGGCGUAAAGCGUGCGUAGGCGGCUUCUUAAGUCGGAUGUGAAAUCCCUGAGCUUAACUUAGGAAUUGCAUUCGAUACUGGGAAGCUAGAGUAUGGGAGAGGAUGGUAGAAUUCCAGGUGUAGCGGUGAAAUGCGUAGAGAUCUGGAGGAAUACCGAUGGCGAAGGCAGCCAUCUGGCCUAAUACUGACGCUGAGGUACGAAAGCAUGGGGAGCAAACAGGAUUAGAUACCCCCGUAGUCCCUGUCUCUUAUAA
This 301-nucleotide ribosomal RNA is filed under the name uncultured bacterium. Its description in RNAcentral is "partial 16S ribosomal RNA". It matches the Rfam family "Bacterial small subunit ribosomal RNA", at positions 509 to 809 of the family's 1533-position model. The record is from RNAcentral.